UCAGGCCUCACACAUGCAAGUCGAGCGGUAAGGCCCCUUCGGGGGUACACGAGCGGCGACGGGUGAGUAACACGUGAGUGACCUGCCCCUGACUCCGGGAUAAGCGGUGGAAACGCUGUCUAAUACCGGAUACGACCUUCCGUUGCAUGACGGGGGGUGGAAAGCUUUCGCGGUUGGGGAUGGGCUCGCGGCCUAUCAGCUUGUUGGUGGGGUAACGGCCUACCAAGGCGAUUACGGGUAGCCGGCCUGAGAGGGCGACCGGCCACACUGGGACUGAGACACGGCCCAGACUCCUGCGGGAGGCAGCAGUGGGGAAUAUUGCGCAAUGGGCGAAAGCCUGACGCAGCGACGCCGCGUGGGGGAUGACGGCCUUCGGGUUGUAAACCUCUUUUACCACUAACGCAGGCUCGGGGNUNUGAACNGA
Molecule: ribosomal RNA, 424 nt
Filed under: uncultured bacterium
Lineage: Bacteria
Description: bacterial SSU rRNA
Rfam family: Bacterial small subunit ribosomal RNA
Source: RNAcentral